GCCGAGAUGGCGGAAUAGGUAGACGCACGGGACUCAAAAUCCCGCGCUGGAAACAGCGUGCCGGUUCGAUUCCGGCUCUCGGCACCA
RNAcentral lists this transfer RNA (87 nucleotides) under Noviherbaspirillum autotrophicum. RNAcentral's name for it is "tRNA-Leu". It matches the Rfam family "tRNA". Rfam says of the family: Transfer RNA (tRNA) molecules are approximately 80 nucleotides in length. Their secondary structure includes four short double-helical elements and three loops (D, anti-codon, and T loops). Further hydrogen bonds mediate the characteristic L-shaped molecular structure. tRNAs have two regions of fundamental functional importance: the anti-codon, which is responsible for specific mRNA codon recognition, and the 3' end, to which the tRNAs corresponding amino acid is attached (by aminoacyl-tRNA synthetases). tRNAs cope with the degeneracy of the genetic code in two manners: having more than one tRNA (with a specific anti-codon) for a particular amino acid; and 'wobble' base-pairing, i.e. permitting non-standard base-pairing at the 3rd anti-codon position. RNAcentral also lists the same sequence under 10 other names. The record is from RNAcentral. Lineage: Bacteria; Pseudomonadati; Pseudomonadota; Betaproteobacteria; Burkholderiales; Oxalobacteraceae.